UAUUUAUGAGAAGAAAUGUCACCUACUUACUGUUUUUAACUUUUUUAAUAAGCUCCUUUCCUUGGUGUCAAAUUCUUGCUCUUCUUUAAGGCCUUCAUUAAUUAUUUCAGCACU
Non-coding RNA from Biomphalaria pfeifferi, 114 nucleotides. NCBI's taxonomy places the organism in Eukaryota, Metazoa, Mollusca, Gastropoda, Planorbidae. The record is from the annotation of a GenBank genome assembly.